GGCCCUACGGGGUGCAGCAGGCGCGAAAACUUUACAAUGCUGGGAACAGCGAUAAGGGAACCUCGAGUGCCAGGUUACAAAUCUGGCUGUCGUGAUGCCUAAAAAGCAUUAUAUAGCAAGGGCCGGGCAAGACCGGUGCCAGCCGCCGCGGUAACACCGGCGGCUCGAGUGGUAACCGUUAUUAUUGGGUCUAAAGGGUCUGUAGCCGGCCGGAUAAGUCUCUUGGGAAAUCUGGCAGCUCAACUGUCAGGCUUUCAGGGGAUACUGUCUGGCUCGAGGCCGGGAGAGGUGAGAGGUACUUCAGGGGUAGGGGUGAAAUCUUGUAAUCCUUGAAGGACCACCAGUGGCGAAGGCGUCUCACCAGAACGGACCUGACGGCAAGGGACGAAAGCUAGGGGCACGAACCGGAUUAGAUACCCGGGUAGUCCUAGCCGUAAACGAUACUCGCUAGGUGUCGGCCACGGUGCGACCGUUGUCGGUGCCGUAGGGAAGCCGUGAAGCGAGCCACCUGGGAAGUACGGCCGCAAGGCUGAAACUUAAAGGAAUUGGCGGGGGAGCACCACAACGGGUGGAGCUUGCGGUUUAAUUGGAUUCAGCGCCGGAAAUCUUA
RNAcentral lists this ribosomal RNA (610 nucleotides) under uncultured archaeon. RNAcentral's name for it is "bacterial SSU rRNA". It matches the Rfam family "Archaeal small subunit ribosomal RNA", at positions 319 to 929 of the family's 1478-position model. The record is from RNAcentral.